This 254-nucleotide ribosomal RNA is filed under the name uncultured bacterium. RNAcentral describes it as "partial 16S ribosomal RNA". It matches the Rfam family "Bacterial small subunit ribosomal RNA", at positions 524 to 776 of the family's 1533-position model. The record is from RNAcentral.
UACAGAGGUCUCAAGCGUUGUUCGGAUUCAUUGGGCGUAAAGAGCUCGUAGGCGGUUUGGUAAGUCGGAUGUGAAAUCUCCAGGCUCAACCUGGAGGGGUCAUUCGAUACUGCCAUGACUAGAGUUCGGUAGGGGUGUGUGGAAUUCCUGGUGGAGCGGUGAAAUGCGCAGAGAUCAGGAGGAACACCAGUAGCGAAGGCGGCACCCUGGCCGAGGUCUGACGCUGAAGCACGACAGCGUGGGGAGCAAACGGG